Molecule: ribosomal RNA, 484 nt
Filed under: uncultured bacterium
Lineage: Bacteria
Description: partial 16S ribosomal RNA
Rfam family: Bacterial small subunit ribosomal RNA
Source: RNAcentral
AUUGAACGCUGGCGGCAGGCCUAACACAUGCAAGUCGAGCGGAUGAAGGGAGCUUGCUCCUGGAUUCAGCGGCGGACGGGUGAGUAAUGCCUAGGAAUCUGCCUGGUAGUGGGGGAUAACGUCCGGAAACGGGCGCUAAUACCGCAUACGUCCUGAGGGAGAAAGUGGGGGAUCUUCGGACCUCACGCUAUCAGAUGAGCCUAGGUCGGAUUAGCUAGUUGGUGGGGUAAAGGCCUACCAAGGCGACGAUCCGUAACUGGUCUGAGAGGAUGAUCAGUCACACUGGAACUGAGACACGGUCCAGACUCCUACGGGAGGCAGCAGUGGGGAAUAUUGGGCAAUGGGCGAAAGCCUGAUCCAGCCAUGCCGCGUGUGUGAAGAAGGUCUUCGGAUUGUAAAGCACUUUAAGUUGGGAGGAAGGGCAGUAAGUUUAUACCUUCCUGUUUUGACGUUACCAACAGAAUAAGCACCGGCUAACUUCGUG